RNAcentral lists this ribosomal RNA (459 nucleotides) under uncultured bacterium. Its description in RNAcentral is "partial 16S ribosomal RNA". It matches the Rfam family "Bacterial small subunit ribosomal RNA", at positions 338 to 795 of the family's 1533-position model. The record is from RNAcentral.
CCUACGGGCGGCAGCAGUGAGGAAUAUUGGUCAAUGGCCGGGAGGCUGAACCAGCCAAGUCGCGUGAGGGAAGACGGCCCUACGGGUUGUAAACCUCAUUUGUCAGGGAGCAAUGUUCAGGUCGGGACCUGCUGUGAGAGUACCUGAAGACCAAGCAUCGGCUAACUCCGUGCCAGCAGCCGCGGUAAUACGGAGGAUGCGAGCGUUAUCCGGAUUUAUUGGUUUUAAAGGGUGAGCAGGCGGAGGCACAAGUCAGCGGUAAAAUACGGGGGCUCAACCCCGCGCCGCCGUUGAAACUGUUGCCCUUGAGUGCGCGAAGGGUAGGCGGAAUGCGUGGUGUAGCGGUGAAAUGCAUAGAUAUCACGCAGAACUCCGAUCGCGAAGGCAGCCUACCGGCGCGCAACUGACGCUCAUGCACGAAAGCGUGGGUAUCGAACAGGAGUAGAUACCCUUGUAGUC